Genlisea aurea is the source of this 71-nucleotide non-coding RNA. NCBI's taxonomy places the organism in Eukaryota, Viridiplantae, Streptophyta, Magnoliopsida, Lamiales, Lentibulariaceae. The record is from Rfam.
GCCUUUAUAGCUCAACGGUAGAGCGGAAUACUGUUAAUAUUUUGAUAUAUGUUCAAUUCAUAUUAAGGGCU